GGGUUGUGAGGUUAAGCGAAUAAGCGUACACGGUGGAUGCCUAGGCAAUCAGAGGCGAUGAAGGACGUGCUAAUCUGCGAUAAGCGUCGGUAAGGUGAUAUGAACCGUUAUAACCGACGAUUUCCGAAUGGGGAAACCCAAUAUCCAAUGGAUAUUAUCAUUACGUGAAUACAUAGCGUAAUGAAGCGAACCGGGAGAACUGAAACAUCUCAGUACCCCGAGGAAAAGAAAUCAACCGAGAUUCCCCUAGUAGCGGCGAGCGAACGGGGAACAGCCCAGAGUCUUAAUCAAUAGCAGCAUCAGGAGAACGGUCUGGAAAGUCCGGCAGUAAAGGGUGAUAGCCCCGUAUCUGAAGAUGUUGUUAUUGUGAACUCGACGAGUAGGGCGGGACACGUGUUAUCCUGUCUGAAUAUGGGGGGACCAUCCUCCAAGGCUAAAUACUCCUGAUUGACCGAUAGUGAACCAGUACCGUGAGGGAAAGGCGAAAAGAACCCCGGCGAGGGGAGUGAAAAAGAACCUGAAACCGUGUACGUACAAGCAGUAGGAGCCUCUUUUAUGGGGUGACUGCGUACCUUUUGUAUAAUGGGUCAGCGACUUAUAUUCUGUAGCAAGGUUAACCGUAUAGGGGAGCCGUAGGGAAACCGAGUCUUAACUGGGCGAAUGAGUUGCAGGGUAUAGACCCGAAACCCGGUGAUCUAUCCAUGGGCAGGUUGAAGGUUGGGUAACACUAACUGGAGGACCGAACCGACUAAUGUUGAAAAAUUAGCGGAUGACUUGUGGAUGGGGGUGAAAGGCCAAUCAAACCGGGAGAUAGCUGGUUCUCCCCGAAAGCUAUUUAGGUAGCGCCUCGUGAACUCAUCUUCGGGGGUAGAGCACUGUUUCGACUAGGGGGUCAUCCCGACUUACCAACUCGAUGCAAACUGCGAAUACCGAAGAAUGUUAUCACGGGAGACACACGGCGGGUGCUAACGUCCGUCGUGAAGAGGGAAACAACCCAGACCGCCAGCUAAGGUCCCAAAGUCAUGGUUAAGUGGGAAACGAAGUGGGAAGGCUCAGACAGCCAGGAUGUUGGCUUAGAAGCAGCCAUCAUUUAAAGAAAGCGUAAUAGCUCACUGGUCGAGUCGGCCCGCGCGGAAGAUGUAACGGGGCUAAACCAUGCACCGAAGCUGCGGCAGCGACACUUAGGUGUUGUUGGGUAGGGGAGCGUUCUGUAAGCCUGCGAAGGUGUGCUGUGAGGCAUGCUGGAGGUAUCAGAAGUGCGAAUGCUGACAUAAGUAACGAUAAUGCGGGUGAAAAACCCGCACGCCGGAAGACCAAGGGUUCCUGUCCAACGUUAAUCGGGGCAGGGUGAGUCGACCCCUAAGGCGAGGCUGAAAAGCGUAGUCGAUGGGAAACGGGUUAAUAUUCCCGUACUGGUGGUAACUGCGAUGGGGGAACGGAGAAGGCUAGGUUGUCCGGGCGACGGUCGUCCCGGUUCAAGCAUGUAGGCAGAGUGAUUAGGCAAAUCCGGUCACUUAAUGCUGAGGUGUGAUGACGAACCACUAAGGUGGUGAAGCAAUUGAUGCCCUGCUUCCAGGAAAAGCCUCUAAGCUUCAGGUUACCAACAAUCGUACCCCAAACCGACACAGGUGGUCAGGUAGAGAAUACUCAGGCGCUUGAGAGAACUCGGGUGAAGGAACUAGGCAAAAUGGUGCCGUAACUUCGGGAGAAGGCACGCUGGCGGUAAGUGAAGUCCCUUGCGGACGGAGCCGAAGCCAGUCGAAGAUACCAGCUGGCUGCAACUGUUUAUUAAAAACACAGCACUGUGCAAACACGAAAGUGGACGUAUACGGUGUGACGCCUGCCCGGUGCUGGAAGGUUAAUUGAUGGGGUUAUCCUUAGGGAGAAGCUCUUGAUCGAAGCCCCAGUAAACGGCGGCCGUAACUAUAACGGUCCUAAGGUAGCGAAAUUCCUUGUCGGGUAAGUUCCGACCUGCACGAAUGGCGUAAUGAUGGCCAGGCUGUCUCCACCCGAGACUCAGUGAAAUUGAACUCGCUGUGAAGAUGCAGUGUACCCGCGGCAAGACGGAAAGACCCCGUGAACCUUUACUAUAGCUUGACACUGAACAUUGAGCCUUGAUGUGUAGGAUAGGUGGGAGACUUUGAAGUGUGGACGCCAGUCUGCAUGGAGUCAACCUUGAAAUACCACCCUUUAACGUUUGAUGUUCUAACCUAGGUCCAUAAUCUGGAUCGGGGACCGUGUCUGGUGGGUAGUUUGACUGGGGCGGUCUCCUCCUAAAGAGUAACGGAGGAGCACGAAGGUUGGCUAAGCAUGGUCGGACAUCAUGCGGUUAGUGCAAAGGCAUAAGCCAGCUUGACUGUGAGAGUGACGGCUCGAGCAGGUACGAAAGUAGGUCUUAGUGAUCCGGUGGUUCUGAAUGGAAGGGCCAUCGCUCAACGGAUAAAAGGUACUCCGGGGAUAACAGGCUGAUACCGCCCAAGAGUUCAUAUCGACGGCGGUGUUUGGCACCUCGAUGUCGGCUCAUCACAUCCUGGGGCUGAAGUAGGUCCCAAGGGUAUGGCUGUUCGCCAUUUAAAGUGGUACGCGAGCUGGGUUUAGAACGUCGUGAGACAGUUCGGUCCCUAUCUGCCGUGGGCGUUGGAAGAUUGAGAGGGGUUGCUCCUAGUACGAGAGGACCGGAGUGAACGCACCACUGGUGUUCGGGUUGUCAUGCCAAUGGCAUUGCCCGGUAGCUAAGUGCGGAAGAGAUAACCGCUGAAAGCAUCUAAGCGGGAAACUUGCCUCGAGAUGAGUCUUCCCUGUCACCUUGAGUGACCUAAAGGAACGUUUAAGACUAAGACGUUGAUAGGCUGGGUGUGUAAGCGUAGCGAUACGUUGAGCUAACCAGUACUAAUGAACCGUGAGGCUUAACCUGACAACACCGAAGGUGUUU
This 2932-nucleotide ribosomal RNA is filed under the name Proteus hauseri. Its description in RNAcentral is "23S ribosomal RNA". It matches the Rfam family "Bacterial large subunit ribosomal RNA". The record is from RNAcentral. Lineage: Bacteria; Pseudomonadati; Pseudomonadota; Gammaproteobacteria; Enterobacterales; Morganellaceae.